Molecule: non-coding RNA, 407 nt
Organism: Xyrichtys novacula (pearly razorfish)
Lineage: Eukaryota; Metazoa; Chordata; Actinopteri; Labriformes; Labridae
Source: the annotation of a GenBank genome assembly
UUUUCUUUCUCUGACCCUCUUGCACCUCCUCUUCUCCGUCUCUCCCUCUCUCUGCCUCCUGAGACAGAAACUGGAGGAGAUAAUGGAGGAUGGAGGAUCACAGAAGACCCGCAUCAAUUUAGAGCUUAGACCCGGUGAUGAUGAACAUGCUCACAUACUCUGGGUGAUUCGGUCUGAGUGAGUCACUUCUCUCUCUCUCCAGUGAAAUGACAGACAGCAGACAUGCACAUUAAGAAAACAGGUAAUCAGUGUUCAUUCAACCUGCAUAUCUUCAAACUUUAUUUUGUGAACAAAUGAGAUACCAGAGCACUUGAACAUUUCUUCAGUACAACUCUAAAACUAAUCAGAAAACUUCCCGAACAAUAGUCACAUAUUUCUGCGGUUAUGAAAUUCACAGACAGGAAAAG